UCCCGAGCAAUCGGGAAAGUAGAGUGGCGCACGGGUGAGUAACACGUAGGUAAUCUACCUUCGGAUGGGGAAUAACAACCGGAAACGGUUGCUAAUACCGCAUAAUGCAGCGGCACCUAAUGGUGACAGUUGUUAAAGCGGGGGAUCGAAAGACCUCGCGUCUGAAGAGGAGCCUGCGGCGGAUUAGCUAGUUGGUAAGGUAAUGGCUUACCAAGGCGACGAUCCGUAACCGGCCUGAGAGGGCGGUCGGUCACACUGACACUGACAUACGGGUCAGACUCCUACGGGAGGCAGCAGUCGGGAAUUUUGGGCAAUGGGCGAAAGCCUGACCCAGCAACGCCGCGUGAAGGAUGAAAUCCCUCGGGAUGUAAACUUCGCAAGAACGGGAAGAAUAAGUAGGGGACAAUACCCCCUAUGAUGACGGUACCGUUUGUAAGCUCCGGCUAACUCCGUGCCAGCAGCCGCGGUAAUACGGGGGGAGCAAGCGUUGUUCGGAUUUACUGGGCGUAAAGGGCGCGUAGGCGGUCAGCACAAGUCAGUUGUGAAAUCUCCGAGCUUAACUCGGAAAGGUCAACUGAUACUGUGCGACUAGAGUGCAGAAGGGGCAACUGGAAUUCUCGGUGUAGCGGUGAAAUGCGUAGAUAUCGAGAGGAACACCUGCGGCGAA
RNAcentral lists this ribosomal RNA (667 nucleotides) under uncultured Acidobacteriota bacterium. Its description in RNAcentral is "bacterial SSU rRNA". It matches the Rfam family "Bacterial small subunit ribosomal RNA", at positions 73 to 719 of the family's 1533-position model. Lineage: Bacteria; Pseudomonadati; Acidobacteriota. The record is from RNAcentral.